RNAcentral lists this non-coding RNA (24 nucleotides) under Arabidopsis thaliana (thale cress). Lineage: Eukaryota; Viridiplantae; Streptophyta; Magnoliopsida; Brassicales; Brassicaceae. The record is from RNAcentral.
GAAGAACAACAACAACAAGAAGGG